UUCUUCUUAUCUCAGCUCCUCAAUGGUGCUUUCAUUGGUGGGAGGUAUCGUAAGUACUCCUCUCCUUUGAUCUCUAUCAAGAUCUACGCAUAGAGAGCAGAGAGAGGAGUGUAGGAGUCAUACCUGCCAUAGUUGUUUGGCUUCAGACUCCGUGUCAAGGUGAAGCUCGCUUGUUGACAGUCGGUCUACUUGAUUCGGUCGGAGCUUCACUUUUCUUUUAUUUCUUCUUCUGACCUUUUCCGUCUGUUUGGCGUUGGUCAGAAGCAGCUUCAUCCGUGCGAAU
This 283-nucleotide long non-coding RNA is filed under the name Elaeis guineensis (African oil palm). RNAcentral's name for it is "long non-coding RNA (EGUI_LNC038831)". The record is from RNAcentral. Lineage: Eukaryota; Viridiplantae; Streptophyta; Magnoliopsida; Arecales; Arecaceae.